Molecule: ribosomal RNA, 500 nt
Filed under: uncultured bacterium
Lineage: Bacteria
Description: partial 16S ribosomal RNA
Rfam family: Bacterial small subunit ribosomal RNA
Source: RNAcentral
AUUGAACGCUGGCGGCAUGCCUUACACAUGCAAGUCGAACGGCAGCACGGGAGCAAUCCUGGUGGCGAGUGGCGAACGGGUGAGUAAUGUAUCGGAACGUGCCCAGUCGUGGGGGAUAACGUAGCGAAAGUUACGCUAAUACCGCAUACGAUCUAUGGAUGAAAGCAGGGGAUCGCAAGACCUUGCGCGAUUGGAGCGGCCGAUAUCAGGUUAGGUAGUUGGUGGGGUAAAAGCUUACCAAGCCUACGAUCUGUAGCUGGUCUGAGAGGACGACCAGCCACACUGGGACUGAGACACGGCCCAGACUCCUACGGGAGGCAGCAGUGGGGAAUUUUGGACAAUGGGCGAAAGCCUGAUCCAGCCAUGCCGCGUGCAGGAUGAAGGCCUUCGGGUUGUAAACUGCUUUUGUACGGAACGAAACGGCCUUUUCUAAUACAGGAGGCUAAUGACGGUACCGUAAGAAUAAGCACCGGCUAACUACGUGCCAGCCGCCGCGGUAA